UCCCGAGUAGCUGGUAUUACAGGCGUGUGCCACAAAGCCUGGCUAAGUUUUGUAUUUUUAGUAGAGACGGGGUUUCACCAUGUUGGCCAGGUUGGUCUCGAACUCCUGACCUCAAGUGAUCCACUCACUUUGGCCUUUCAACGUGCUGGGAUUACAGGCGAGAGUCACCGCACCCGGACGACUCUGACAUUUUUGAAGAGUCCAGAAUCCUGUUACACCUGGGAUUUAGGCACUUUCAAUCUGAAAAAAUACAUAUCCUUUCAGCACUCUGGACGGACUUGAGAACUGUCCUUACGUGACCUAAAGCUGGAGUAUUUUGAGAUUGGAGAAUUAAGGCCAACAGAGAUUUUGAGAAACACAUUGAAGGAUCUGUUAACACUUGAUAUACCCAAUAAAAGCAGUGGUUGUGCCAGUGCUGAUCUGUCUUGAUGUGAAUGUGAACAAUGGGAACCUGAGCUGAGCAGUUAAUGCUAGGGUGACAGAAACUGGACCUCUCCCAAGACAUGUGACAGAGUAAUACAGCAGCCAACUUCUUCGCCAAAUUAAAGUUUUACAAGAUUUAACCUGUCAUCAAGACCUGGGAUUUUGGUGAGCCAGUCUUGGUGCUCUGUGUUCACCUGGUUCAUCUGAGGAGCUGCAUCUACCCUGCCCAUGCCAUAGAUCCUGCCCUGUUUGCUUCUCCUGUUGCUGCUAGUGGACAUGAGAAGGACAGAAUAACGGGCUCCCAGAUUCACAAGCCCCACCAAGAGGAUCACCCCAGGAACGCUUGGAGGCUGAGGAGUUCACUGAGGCUACUGCAUCUUGAGACUCAGGAUGAAGACCCAGCUUGGGGCUGUCAAAGGUUUUUUGCAUGUCUGACACCCAUGACUCCACCUGGACCUUAUGGCUCCACCCAGAAGCAAUUCAGCCCAACAGGAGGACAGCUUCAACCCAUUACGAUUUCAUCUCUGCCCCAACCACUCAGCAGCAAGCACCUGUUACCUGUCCACCCCCACCCCUUCCCCCAAACUGCCUUUGAAAAAUCCCUAACCUAUGAGCUUUGAAUAAGAUGAGUACGAACUUCAUCGCCCACGUGGCGUGGCCGGCCUCGUGUCUAUUAAAUUCUUUUUCUACUACAA
Molecule: long non-coding RNA, 1118 nt
Filed under: Homo sapiens (human)
Lineage: Eukaryota; Metazoa; Chordata; Mammalia; Primates; Hominidae
Description: HSALNT0349971
Rfam family: Pvt1 oncogene conserved region 5 (bases 206-335)
Source: RNAcentral